RNAcentral lists this ribosomal RNA (443 nucleotides) under uncultured bacterium. Its description in RNAcentral is "partial 16S ribosomal RNA". It matches the Rfam family "Bacterial small subunit ribosomal RNA", at positions 338 to 795 of the family's 1533-position model. The record is from RNAcentral.
CCUACGGGGGGCUGCAGUGGGGAAUAUUGGGCAAUGGGCGCAAGCCUGACCCAGCAACGCCGCGUGAAGGAAGAAGGCUUUCGGGUUGUUAACUUCUUUUAUCAGGGACGAAGCAAGUGACGGUACCUGAGGAAUAAGCCACGGCUAACUACGUGCCAGCAGCCGCGGUAAUACGUAGGUGGCAAGCGUUAUCCGGAUUUACUGGGUGUAAAGGGCGUGUAGGCGGGAGUGCAAGUCAGAUGUGAAUACUAUGGGCUCAACCCAUAGCCUGCAUUUGAAACUGUACUUCUUGAGUGCUGGAGAGGCAAUCGGAAUUCCGUGUGUAGCGGUGAAAUGCGUAGAUAUACGGAGGAACACCAGUGGCGAAGGCGGAUUGCUGGACAGUAACUGACGCUGAGGCGCGAAAGCGUGGGGAGCAAACAGGAUUAGAUACCCUUGUAGUC